UCAGGAGUCGGACAGGCUGGUUGGAUGGUGGGUUGAUUUCAGCUGGGCUUGCUCAGGCAUGUGCGGUCAGCUGGCUGGUCAGGUGCGACUUCCUGGUCCAGGAUGGCCUCCGCUGAAAUGACUCUGUUCUGUUCCAUGUGUUUAGUUUGUUUCUUUGUUUUUGUUUUGUUUUUUUGUUUUUGUUUUUGUUUUCUAUCAUGUUACACCAGGCUUGUUCUCCUGAUGGCUGUGAGGGUUUAAGAGAAAAGUCGAACUGUGUGAAGACCUCCUGAGACUUAGAACUGACAUACUAUCACAUCUGUCACUGUCCUUUGCUAGAAGAAGCCCCAAGAACUACCCAGUUUUCAGGAUAGAGAGGUUGAACCCCUAUUUCUGGGCUCCUUCCCUGGUCUAUGCUCAUGGUCAGCUUUUGGCUUCAGCCCACGUCCUGGGUUUUCUACUCUGGCACGAGUCCCGCUCUUCCCAAACAUGCCUUCCUGCUCUUCUCCCACUGGACACAGCCGAUCUGACAGACACGGACUCCCAUGGGUGAUUCCUGCUCUCAGCCUCUCUCCUGACUUCCGGCCUGAAGAAGCCUGAAGGCAGAACGUUAUGCGCAUGUCUGUAAUACCUGCUGGUUCUAUGGGUGAUCC
This 632-nucleotide long non-coding RNA is filed under the name Mustela putorius furo (domestic ferret). RNAcentral's name for it is "lncRNA (ENSMPUG00000030414.1)". The record is from RNAcentral. Lineage: Eukaryota; Metazoa; Chordata; Mammalia; Carnivora; Mustelidae.